AACGAACGCUGGCGGCAUGCCUAACACAUGCAAGUCGAACGAGACCUUCGGGUCUAGUUGCGCACGGGGGCGUAACGCGUGGGAACCUGCCCUUAGGUUCGGAAUAACUCCCCGAAAGGGGUGCUCAUACCGGAUAAUGUCUUCGGACCAAAGAUUUAUCGCCUUUGGAUGGGCCCGCGUUGGAUUAGCCAGUUGGUAGGGUAAAAGCCUACCAAGGCGACGAUCCAUAGCUGGUCUGAGAGGAUGAUCAGCCACGCUGGGACUGAGACACGGCCCAGACUCCUACGCAAGGCAGCAGUGGGGAAUAUUGGACGAUGGGCGAAAGCGUGAUACAGCAAUGCCGCGUGAGUGAUGAAGGCCUUAGGGUUGUAAAGCUCUUUUACCCGGGAUGAUAAUGACAGUACCGGGAGAAUAAGCUCCGGCUAACUACGUG
This 433-nucleotide ribosomal RNA is filed under the name uncultured bacterium. RNAcentral describes it as "partial 16S ribosomal RNA". It matches the Rfam family "Bacterial small subunit ribosomal RNA", at positions 29 to 507 of the family's 1533-position model. The record is from RNAcentral.